UACGGAGGGUGCGAGCGUUGUCCGGAUUUAUUGGGUUUAAAGGGUGCGUAGGCGGCCGUUUAAGUCUGGGGUGAAAGCCCGCUGCUCAACAGCGGAACUGCCCUGGAUACUGGAUGGCUUGAAUACAGUGGAGGUUGGCGGAAUGGACUGAGUAGCGGUGAAAUGCAUAGAUACAGUCCAGAACCCCGAUUGCGAAGGCAGCUGACUACACUGGUAUUGACGCUGAGGCACGACAGCGUGGGGAGCGAACAGG
This 253-nucleotide ribosomal RNA is filed under the name uncultured bacterium. Its description in RNAcentral is "partial 16S ribosomal RNA". It matches the Rfam family "Bacterial small subunit ribosomal RNA", at positions 524 to 776 of the family's 1533-position model. The record is from RNAcentral.